GGGCUAGGUAUUAGGGGAAGGUAUUAGGGGCUAGGUAGUAGGGGCUAGGUAUUAGGGAAGAUAUUAGGGGAUGGUAUUAUGGCCUAGAUAUUAGGGGAAGGUAUUAGGGGCCAUGUAUUAGUGGAAGGUAUUAGGGACUAGGUAUUAGGGGAAGGUAUUAGGGGAUACGUAUUAGGGGAAGGUAUUAGGGGCUAGGUAUUAGGGGAAGCUAUUAGGGGCUAGGUAUUAGGGAAAGAUAUUUGGGGCUAGGUAUUAGGGGCUAAGUCUUAGAGGCUAGGUAUUAGGGGAAGAUAUUAAGGGCUAGGUAUUAGUGGCUAGGAUUUAGGGGCGAAGUAUACCUCGGCAUGCUAGAGCAGCUGUAAGUUCUAUGGCAGAAUCUCAUUACCAUCCUAACAGCUUGCAGAUUCAUUUGCAUUUUUCCGUGAG
This is a long non-coding RNA of Oncorhynchus tshawytscha (Chinook salmon), 426 nucleotides long. The record is from Ensembl. Lineage: Eukaryota; Metazoa; Chordata; Actinopteri; Salmoniformes; Salmonidae.